RNAcentral lists this ribosomal RNA (253 nucleotides) under uncultured bacterium. RNAcentral describes it as "partial 16S ribosomal RNA". It matches the Rfam family "Bacterial small subunit ribosomal RNA", at positions 524 to 776 of the family's 1533-position model. The record is from RNAcentral.
GACGUAGGGCGCGAGCGUUGUCCGGAUUUAUUGGGCGUAAAGAGCUCGUAGGCGGCUUGUCGCGUCGUCUGUGAAAACCCGGGGCUCAACUCCGGGCUUGCGGGCGAUACGGGCAGGCUAGAGUUCGGUAGGGGAGACUGGAAUUCCUGGUGUAGCGGUGAAAUGCGCAGAUAUCAGGAGGAACACCGGUGGCGAAGGCGGGUCUCUGGGCCGAUACUGACGCUGAGGAGCGAAAGCGUGGGGAGCGAACAGG